RNAcentral lists this small nuclear RNA (204 nucleotides) under Ipomoea nil (Japanese morning glory). RNAcentral describes it as "U2 spliceosomal RNA". It matches the Rfam family "U2 spliceosomal RNA". From Rfam's summary of the family: U2 is a small nuclear RNA (snRNA) component of the spliceosome (involved in pre-mRNA splicing). Lineage: Eukaryota; Viridiplantae; Streptophyta; Magnoliopsida; Solanales; Convolvulaceae. The record is from Rfam by way of RNAcentral.
AUACCUUUCUCGGCCUUUUGGCUAAGAUCAAAGAUCAAUUGUAGUAUCUGUUCUUAUCACUUUAAUAUUUGAUACAUGGGCUAUUAGCCCACAUGAUAUUAACUCACUAUUUUUUAGGGGGAAGACCCAUUAAGGCAGCUUGCUGUCUGGGCUUUUGAGUGUUGCCUUGGUGUUGCACUAUUGUCUUGGCUUGGCGCACCCCAC